CGUGUUUAACCUUCCCAAGCAAGACAGCCCCAAAGUCCCGUCCAGUUUCUGCAUCCAGCCAGACAGAACCUCCCCUCCAAAGAGAAGUUCCCUCCGUCUCUGCAGCAAGAAUAUACCAAAAGCCAAGGACACAGGUGGAUGAAAUUGAUCAUGCCCUUGAGGGCAUAAACUUCUGUGGGAGUAGUUUGCAAACUGUAGGGAAGCGGACUGAAAUGAUGGUGUUGGAAACUGGCCAAUGCUCUGCAUCCUCAAAAACAACUUGUG
This is a long non-coding RNA of Camelus dromedarius (Arabian camel), 264 nucleotides long. RefSeq lists it as uncharacterized. NCBI's taxonomy places the organism in Eukaryota, Metazoa, Chordata, Mammalia, Artiodactyla, Camelidae. The record is from RefSeq and is a predicted model, not a curated record. The transcript has 3 exons.